AUUGAUUCUCGACUUCCUGUUUAAAUUCCUUAAACUUCUCGAAAGUCUCUGAUUUAUGCUUGAUUAAGUAGACAUAUCCGUAUCUACUGUAAUCAUCAGUAAAAGUCAAAUAAUAACGAUUAGCAUCCCUUGUGGCAUGUUUGAAUGGUCCACACACAUCCGUGUGUAUAAGGUCCAACAAACCUUCACCCCUCUCACACGAGCCUGUGAAGGGUGACUUUGUCAUUUUUCCAAGUAAGCAUGAUUCACAACUAUCAUUUGACUUUAGGUCAAACGACUCCAAGACUCCAUCCUUUUGGAGUUGGCCUAUGCGUUUCUUGCUUAUAUGUCCAAGACGACAAUGCCAUAAUGAUGCUUUAUCCAAGUUAUUAUUAUUAGUAGAAUCAAUACACAAAACAUUAUUUCCUAAGUUAUCUACAACAGACACAGCUUCAUACACACCAUCACAAGGUAAUGCUUUAAAAUAAAAAACAUUAUUAAAGAAAGCAUCACAUUAUUAGUAGAAUCAAUACACAAAACAUUAUUUCAUACACACCAUCACAAGGUAUACACACCAUCACAUUUAGCUUCAGCAAGCGAUCCACAUAUCUUUGCAUUUUCUGCAUGUGGCUCGUGACGGAAUCCCCGUCCUUCAUCAUGGAUGUUAUCAUGGAGCAGAUGAUUCCGUACCUCUCUUGUCGUGCACUUUGAUGGUAUCUUUCCAUCAAAUCUUGGUGCAUUUCAUAAGGGUAGAAAUCCUCAUAGGACUUUUGGAGUUCUGCUGUCAUUGUGGCCAUCAUGAUGCAUGCUACUUUCGUAGCAUCCCUUUCAUGUGCCUGAAAGUCAGCGAUCUCCUGAGGAGUUGCAGUGGUCUCAUCAAUCUCCUGAAGCUCCUUGUCAAGGACAUAUUCUUUGUCCUCGUAGCGGGUAAUCAUCCUAAUGUUUCCGAUCCAUUCAUUGAAGUUGGAUCCAUCAAAGGUGACUUUCCCACACAAACUCAUAAGAGUAAAGGAGCCAUUAGGAUUCGAGCCAGAAGCAUUACUUGAAGACAUCUGAAAGAGGAGAACUAGUUUAGUAUAGAUUUAAGAGAGUCCUUAAUAAAACACCCAAAUGUAAUAUUAAGGCUAGGAUCCAAUCACAAUAUAAUAUAACUUAGAAGAGGUAUGCCGUAAUCUAAGCUAUACCAUAUUUGAAAGGUAGGUGAAUGACGAUUCACCAAUUUCCACCACGAAAACCGCAAUAUUUUAGUAUUAGGUUUUUGAAUGGUUCUUAGAAAUUCCUAGAUUCUUUGAGAUUCAAUGAACUUUUCAAAGGCAUGUUUCAAUCUCGAGUGUGCCCUCCAAGUUUUGUGACUGGGAUACCGAGGAUCACAAAACGAGGUGUGAAGUAACCAUGCAAAUCACUUGGUACCCUUAAAGUUUAUCACUCAAUCGAUGUGCCGGUUAACCACACACGCUCCAUCGAUACUAUAAUAAACCCUAAGUCACCCUUUACCUACCUUGUUAAGUCCAAGUUAGUGUGCCGGUUAACCACACACGCUCCACCAACGACUUAAUCAAAGUGUAAAGUGUAAUUUCAUGGAAUAGCACCUUAUUCACAUUUUUCCUAAAGUAACUAAGAUUGGGAAUUUAAUAAAACAUUUAGUUACUUUAUAAUAUUCAUCAUACUUUGAAUGAGAAUUAAUAAGUCCUUGUCUUACCCGUUCGGCUAACGACCCUCCACCGAUCAAGCAAGCGGUGGGUGAGAGUGGACACCCAUUAAGUCACCAUUUUAUAGGCAACAACCUUAUACCCACCUUAUAGACCGGCUUCGUGAAUGAGGCGUACUAGCGGUAAGACGACUUUGUUCUUAUACAUAUAUAUAUAAUUAUUAAAUCAUAAUAAUAUAAGUAUAAGGGUUGAAUUUUAACUUUUAAAAUUCUAGGGGUUGGAACUAAAGUUUUAACUUAACUUUACUUGUUCCAAAACUUGAGGGCAAGUUUUGUAAACUUUCAAAACUUUUCAUUUCUUGUAACUUAUGAGUUUAAUAGAGUAAUAAAAUGAGGACUUUUCAUUUUUCCUAACUCUUGUGUUCUUUUAAUGGUUUUUAAUCCAAGAGACUUUUGGUUUUCCAUAACUUGAGGACAAGUUAUGGACUCCAUUAAAACACAUUAUGAUCAUGAAUUAAUCUACCACAUAGGUUACAAAUAAUUCCUAUGAUCAUCUAAACAUCAUAAGAACAAGAAUAUGAAUAUGAACACUUUCAAGAAUCAAAAUCACAUUUAAUCUUUGUAAUUUUGAUAACUAGUUGUUGUAAAUGAGUUAGAAAAGACAUUACACCUUCUAAAAUAAGUUUUCAAGUACCAAAACAUUUUAGGGUAAUGAUUCUAAUCCAUUUCCAGCAACUCAAGUCGAAAUUCUGCACUCUGUCGACCCUACUCGCCGAGUGCAUAAACCUACUCGCCGAGUAGGUUGAAGAUACACAUGAACUCGACGAGUCCUCCCCAUGGACUCGCCGAGUCCAUCAGUCAGACAGCAAGAUUUUCGACUUUCUUCAACUUUUAAGCACAAAUAACAAACAAACAAGCCUAGGCUCUGAUACCACUGAUGGGUUUUGAGCAUUCUAACACUUCCUAAGUGUACAUGCAACCCUAAUAACCUUGGAUCUAUGUUUGUCUAAUUAUCAUGCAAAGUUGAAUUCCAAGGUUAUAUUCCUAUCUAGCAUACAUGGGGAACAAUUUUAACUUGAAUCAUAGAUAGAAUAACUUACCUUGUUGUUGCUUGUGUUCCUUGAAACCUUGUGAGCCUAGCACCCCAAGUGUGAUGCCUCAAAUGCUUCACACAACACCAAAUGCUCUUGGAAAGACUCUUGAGAUAACACACACUUCUCAAAAUCGGCCAAGCCCUCUAGUUUCUUAGUGUAGCCGAUUUUGGUGGAGAAUAUGAUUCUUAUAUAGUGUUGACACAUCUAGGGUUACACCAUGUAAACCCUAAUGUGUCAUGACUCUUCAUUUCCAUGACCCAUGGGUUUGUAACUCCCAUGGAGCAUCCAUGGAGCAUCCUAUGGGUAGAACCCAACUUGAUAAUCCAUGGAGCCUCUUAGCCCACUAUACAAGAUAUGGAUGAUUUACAUAAUCAACCCAUAUAUUUAAUUAGUUAUCCUUUGAUCACUUAAUUAAUUCCAAAUUAAUUCUUUGAUCAACUAAUCAAAUAAUAUUAUUAAUAUAUUAGAACUUAUAAUAUAUUAAUAAUCUCCAAGUGUUAUUUCUCUCAUUUAGUCUAUCCAAUUGCAUGGUGCCAUGCAACCCAAAUGGACCAUGCCGGGUCGGGUCAAGUACAAGCCCGAAAUAGUUAUGGACUUAGACACCUUAUCCAACAGUCUCCCACUUGGAUAAGUCUAAUAACUAUAUCUCUAGUACUUCAGGAACCGACCGGCAAUCGUAGCUCUUUCAAGGUCUCUCGGAACUGAGAAGAUGAUGGUACGCCAUUUAAGAUAAGUGAUCAUAUAAUCCUCCGUUCUAGAUAUCAGCCGGACAAAUACAUGGAACAUUGUCUUGCUUAUUGUCCAGCAUUUGUUUCCCGAUUUCCGAUUUGUUUGACAUAGAACUUAAUUGAACACAUCAACUUAGUUCUGACCGGGCCCGGUACAUGGGUCAAAACAAAAUCAUCGAGGGGCCCAGAUAUCAGCUUCUAAUCCAAGAAGGAACAGAUAAACUUCGACUCAUAUGUUUGUUCUACCACUCAUUGAAUUACACACAAAAGUACGUUUUAUAACAUCGAGUUACCAAUGCGGUUUCGUACAGUCAAUGCAUAACCAACUUGUAAGUAACAAAUCAUAUCUCUAGGUUUGAAGACUUAUAUGAUAUUACCGUCUCACGAUCACUCGAGAUAGAAUUCCAUGAAGUGAUUCCAGUGAGCGUGGGUUGAGUCCAAUGCUCAGAACUUAUGAGCACUCAUGAUUGUUGUAGCCUUGUCCAACACCUUAGACCUCUACAACCCAUCAUGACAGUCUUGAUUCAUACCUACUUCCGACAUAUGACCGACUGUGGAGGUUUGAAUAAUAUGUUACACCAAACAAAAUUAUUCUGGAAGUCAAAACAUGCAAAAGAAAUAUAGUAAACGAUUGACAAGAGAUAGCAACACUUUACUCAUAAAUAAAACACCUUUUAUUCAUCAUCAAAUGUCAAUUACACUUUACAAAUUUCUGGGUUAUCUAACUACUAAAACUUAUAUCAUCCUUCAGCCCUAUGCUCCGAGCAUGCUGGAGAUGCUUAACCCUACUCAGUCCCUUCGUGAGGGGAUCUGCUGGGUUCUCAUCCGAUGAUACCCUCUUUGCCACGAGGAGUCCUUCUUCGAUCCGAUGUCUAAUGAAAUGGUAUUUUCUGUCGAUGUGUCUGGAUCUCCCAUGAUCCCUUGGUUCCUUGGCUAAGGCAACAGCACUUUCACUAUCACAGAAAAUUUCCAUUGGCUCUUUAAUAGCUGGUACAACUCCAAGGUCUCCAAUGAAGUUCUUCAGCCAUAUCGCCUCCUUUGCUGCUUCGCUAGCUGCAAUAUACUCUGAUUCACAAGUAGAAUCUGCCACUGUCUCUUGCUUGGAACUCUUCCAAGAAAUUGCUCCUCCGUUUAGGGUAAAGACCCAGCCCGACUGAGAGCGGAAAUUAUCCCUAUCAGUCUGGAAGCUAGCAUCACUAUACCCUACAACUCUCAAGUCAUCACUCCCACCGAGGGUAAGGACCCAGUCCUUAGUCCUCCGUAGGUACUUGAGGAUAUUCUUUACCGCAGUCCAGUGUGCCUUGCCAGGGUUCGCCUGAUACCUGCUAACCAUGCUCAAGGCAAAAGCUACAUCGGGUCGAGUACACGUCAUAGCAUACAUGAUCGAUCCUACAGCCGAAGCGUAAGGUGUUCGACUCAUUUCUGCUAUCUCAGCCUCAGUGCUAGGGCUUUGUGUCUUACUCAAUCUGGUGUUACUCUGGAUGGGUAACUCUCCUUUCUUGGAAUCCUGCAUGCUGAAUCUCUUCAGCACCUUAUCCAAGUAGGUACUCUGACUAAGUCCAAUUAGUCUUUUACUCCGAUCUCUCAAGAUUCUUAUCCCUAGAAUAUAGGCAGCUUCACCAAGGUCCUUCAUAGCGAAACACUUCCCAAGCCAGGACUUUACUUCCUGCAGGGUUGGAAUGUCGUUUCCUAUGAGUAGUAUGUCAUCCACAUACAAUACCAAAAAGCUAACUAUACUCCCACUAGCCUUGACAUACACACAAGAUUCAUCUUCACUCCUAGAAAAGCCAAAUUCCUUGACCUUUUCAUCAAAGCAAAGAUUCCAUCUGCGAGGUGCUUGCUUCAAUCCAUAAAUGGAUUUCUCAAGCUUACACACUCUAUUAGGGUACUCGUUGCUGACAAAACCCUCUGGCUGACUCAUGUAAACAUCUUCAGCCAACUUUCCAUUAAGGAAAGCGGUUUUGACAUCCAUCUGCCAUAUUUCAUAGUCAUGAAAUGCAGCUAUGGCUAACAGAACCCGAAUAGACUUAAUCUUGGCUACCGGAGAAAAGGUCUCAUCAUAAUCCACUCCAGGAAUUUGAGAGAAGCCCUUUGCAACCAGUCUAGCCUUAUAAGUGUGUACUUUACCAUCCAUGUCGGUCUUCUUCUUGAAGACCCAUUUGCACCCUACUGUCUUACGACCUGGUACAUUUUCAACCAAGUUCCAAACUUGAUUGUCAUACAUGGAUUGUAUCUCGCUAUCCAUAGCCUCUUUCCAUUUAGCAGACUCGGGGCCUGCCAUGGCUUCCUCGUAGCUGUUAGGGUCAUCUUGACUUACUAGUGUCUCAUCACUAAUAAGUGUCUCACCUUCUGCAGUAAUAUGGAAUCCAUAGUAAUGCUCAGGUGCACUCCUAACUCUCGUGGAACGUCUCAGAGGUACAGAUUUGUCAAUUGGCUCAACAGGAGUUUCCUCCUCAAGUUGAGGGCUAGAGUUUGAAGUUCCUUCACCGCUUGAUUCUUGAAUUUCUUCAAGAUCAAUUUGCCUCCCACUGUCUCCUUGGCUUAUAAACUCUCUUUCUCGAAAGACUCCUCUUCUUGCUACAAAGACCACAUUGUCACUAGGUCUGUAGAAGAGGUAACCAAAGGAUCGCUGUGGGUAACCGAUGAAAAUACACCUCUCGCUUCGAGGUUCGAGCUUAUCAUGAGUCUCGCGUCUCACGAAAGCCUCGCAACCCCAAAUCUUGAUGUGGUCUAGUUUAGGUACUUUACCAGUCCACAUCUCGUGAGGAGUUUUGGCAACUUUCUUUGUAGGGACUAGAUUAAGAAUAUGGGCGGCAGUCUCUAAGGCAUACCCCCAGAAUGAGAUUGGUAGCGUAGCUCGACUCAUCAUGGAACGAACCAUAUCUAACAAGGUUCGAUUACGCCUCUCAGCCACACCAUUCAACUGUGGUGUCCUGGGAGGUGUCAAUUGUGAGACUAUCCCACAUUCCCUUAGAUAGUCGAGGAACUCUGAACUAAGAUACUCACCACCACGAUCGGAUCGAAGCAUCUUAAUGUUCCUGCCCAAUUGAUUCUCGACUUCCUGUUUAAAUUCCUUAAACCUCUCGAAAGUCUCUGACUUAUGCUUGAUCAAGUAGACAUAUCCAUAUCUACUAUAAUCAUCAGUAAAAGUCAAAUAAUAACGAUUAGCAUCCCUUGUGGCAUGUUUGAAUGGUCCACACACAUCCGUGUGUAUAAGGUCCAACAAACCUUCACCCCUCUCACACGAACCUGUGAAGGGUGACUUUGUCAUUUUUCCAAGUAAGCAUGAUUCGCAACUAUCAUCUGACUUUAGGUCAAACGACUCCAAGACUCCAUCCUUUUGGAGUUGGCCUAUGCGUUUCUUGCUUAUAUGUCCAAGACGACAAUGCCAUAAAGAUGCUUUAUCCAAGUUAUUAUUAGUAGAAUCAAUACACAAAACAUUAUUUCCCAAGUUAUCUACAACAGAUACAGCUUCAUACACACCAUCACAAGGUAAUGCUUUAAAAUAAAAGACAUUAUUAUAGAAAACAUCUAUAGAACCAACUUCAUUAUUAAAUGAAAAGGUAAACCCUUGUUUGUACAAAGCAUGAAAGGAAAUAAUAUUUCUUGCCAUUCCUGGCGAAUAACAACACUUAUUCAAAUCUAAACUAAAC
This 7102-nucleotide long non-coding RNA is filed under the name Lactuca sativa (garden lettuce). Its description in RNAcentral is "long non-coding RNA (LSAT_LNC010145)". The record is from RNAcentral. Lineage: Eukaryota; Viridiplantae; Streptophyta; Magnoliopsida; Asterales; Asteraceae.